GGGUCGAGCUGGGAACACAUG
This 21-nucleotide microRNA is filed under the name Aegilops tauschii. Its description in RNAcentral is "ata-miR398g-5p". Its record names the gene ata-miR398g-5p. The record is from miRBase by way of RNAcentral. Lineage: Eukaryota; Viridiplantae; Streptophyta; Magnoliopsida; Poales; Poaceae.